RNAcentral lists this long non-coding RNA (965 nucleotides) under Marmota monax (woodchuck). The record is from RNAcentral. Lineage: Eukaryota; Metazoa; Chordata; Mammalia; Rodentia; Sciuridae.
GGAAAAGGCAAUGAGUAUACAUUGCUAGUGGUAGUGUAAGUUGAAGCAGUCAAUCUGGAAAGCAAUAUGGAGAUUCCUUGGAAAACUUGGAAUGGAACCACCAAUUGACCCAGCUAUCCUACUCCUUGGUGUUGAACACCGACACAAAGAAAAGACCACCGACUCCAAUUUUAAAUCAAGUUAAAGCAUGCUCAUAUUUGUGUACACAAGGCUGGCCAUCGACAGUCUCACCUGAAAUUCCGGGCUAGAGAUAAGUACCCCAGCUUUCAAGGGACACGGUUUUAUAUCACAAAAAGUUGCAAAGGGGGGGUAUCUUGAGAACAGGAUUUUGACAAGCAUAAUACAAAGGCAGAUAGCAGGUUAAUGAUCUAAAUGGCAUGAUAUUUCAAGGUAGGGAGUAAAUUCAAAUCCCAACAUCAGAAUUUAUGAGGUCCACUAACGUUUCAGAGAGGAUUAUUAUCUGGUCAGGGAAAGCAAGGCAUGGGUGAGUUCAAAGCAUGGGCAGGAAUUCCAAACAAGUUUAGAAAUCGCAGUAAUUUAUAGUAAAACAGAAAUGAACUUUUCAUGACUUUGUAAUGAGAUGGCUCCCAACCUUAAAAUGGAAUCAGGCUGGGUUCAUCACUCAGUUUAUACCCAAAGGACUUAAAAACAGCAUUCUACAGGGACACAGCCACAUCAAUGUUUAUAGCAGCACAAUUCACAAUAGCUAAAUUGUGAAACCAACCCAGGUACCUUUUAGUAGAUGAAUGGAUAGGGAAAUUUUGGUGUAUAUACACAAUGGAAUAUUACUCAGCAUUAAAAGAGAAUAAAAUCAUAGUAUUUGCAAGUAAAUGGAUGGAGUUGGAGAAUAUAAUGCUAAGUGAAGCAAGCCAAUCCCCCCAAACCAAAUGCUAAAUGUUUUCUUUGAUAUGAGGAUGCUGACUCAUAAUGGUGGUGGUCGGGGGAGCAUGGGAGGAAUGGAGGAA